This 253-nucleotide ribosomal RNA is filed under the name uncultured bacterium. RNAcentral's name for it is "partial 16S ribosomal RNA". It matches the Rfam family "Bacterial small subunit ribosomal RNA", at positions 524 to 776 of the family's 1533-position model. The record is from RNAcentral.
UACGAAGGGGGCUAGCGUUGCUCGGAUUCAUUGGGCGUAAAGGGUGCGUAGGUGGCAGGGUAAGUCGGAUGUGAAAUCCCGGGGCUCAACCCCGGAACUGCAUUCGAUACUGCUUUGCUUGAGUACUGGAGAGGAGAUUGGAAUUUACGGUGUAGCAGUGAAAUGCGUAGAUAUCGUAAGGAAGACCAGUGGCGAAGGCGGAUCUCUGGACAGUUACUGACACUGAGGCACGAAGGCCAGGGGAGCAAACGGG